Zea mays is the source of this 502-nucleotide long non-coding RNA. RefSeq lists it as uncharacterized. NCBI's taxonomy places the organism in Eukaryota, Viridiplantae, Streptophyta, Magnoliopsida, Poales, Poaceae. The transcript is spliced from 3 exons. The record is from RefSeq and is a predicted model, not a curated record.
AUCUAAUAAACUGUCCAAAUUAGCUAUAUAUAAACUGAUAAACUGUCCAAAUUAGCUCUAUCCAAAUCUGCUAAACUGUAUAUUUUGUAUAAUCUGAAUAAAAAAGUGAGAUUUUGGUGGUUUGAAAUAACUUUUUGUUUUGUAUAGUCUGAACCCAGCAAAUUCUAUGCAUCUAGCUUGUUUUGGCAAAAUAUCUACACAGAGAAGUUCUCAAGAGUGAAGCCCAUGCAGCUGGUGACCUGGGUGCUGUUGUCCACAGAGCUUACUUCAGAAUGGAUGAAAUGAUGCGAGGUCAAAGAGGAUGGCGGGAGCUUCAAGCACUUGGAGAUAAGAUAAAUCAGUUUAGUGGCAUAAUAGAAGGCUUAAUUUGGUCUCCUAAAGCAAGUGAUUCAAAUGAUAAACAUGAUGAUUGGGCUUUUGAGGAGGGACCACACUCUGAUUUUACUAGGCCAAAUUGUGGGAGUACAACCUGUGUAGCUUUGAUCAGAAAUAAGCAACUCAU